GAUGAACGCUAGCUACAGGCUUAACACAUGCAAGUCGAGGGGUAACGAGAGGAAAGCUUGCUUUCCUUGUCGACGACCGGCGCACGGGUGAGUAACGCGUAUCCAACCUGCCCCCAACUAGGGAAUAACCUUGCGAAAGUAAGACUAAUACCCUAUAAUUUCCUCAGAUGUCAUCUGACGAGGAAUAAAGAUUUAUCGGUUGUGGAUGGGGAUGCGUCUGAUUAGCUUGUUGGCGGGGUAACGGCCACCAAGGCAACGAUCAGUAGGGGUUCUGAGAGGAAGGUCCCCCACAUUGGAACUGAAACGCGGUCCAAACUCCUACGGGAGGCAGCAGUGAGGAAUAUUGGUCAAUGGGCGGAAGCCUGAACCAGCCAAGUAGCGUGCAGGAUGACGGCCCUAUGGGUUGUAAACUGCUUUUAUACAGGAAUAAAGUUAGCCACGUGUGGUUAUUUGUAGGUACUGUAUGAAUAAGGACCGGCUAAUUCCGUGCCAGCAGCCGCAGUAA
This 505-nucleotide ribosomal RNA is filed under the name uncultured bacterium. Its description in RNAcentral is "partial 16S ribosomal RNA". It matches the Rfam family "Bacterial small subunit ribosomal RNA", at positions 28 to 523 of the family's 1533-position model. The record is from RNAcentral.